This 301-nucleotide ribosomal RNA is filed under the name uncultured bacterium. RNAcentral's name for it is "partial 16S ribosomal RNA". It matches the Rfam family "Bacterial small subunit ribosomal RNA", at positions 509 to 807 of the family's 1533-position model. The record is from RNAcentral.
CAGCAGCCGCGGGAAUACGUAGGUGGCAAGCGUUGUCCGGAAUUAUUGGGCGUAAAGCGCGCGCAGGUGGUUUAAUAAGUCUGAUGUGAAAGCCCACGGCUCAACCGUGGAGGGUCAUUGGAAACUGUUAAACUUGAGUGCAGGAGAGAAAAGUGGAAUUCCUAGUGUAGCGGUGAAAUGCGUAGAGAUUAGGAGGAACACCAGUGGCGAAGGCGGCUUUUUGGCCUGUAACUGACACUGAGGCGCGAAAGCGUGGGGAGCAAACAGGAUUAGAGACCCCCGUAGUCCCUGUCUCUUAUAC